This 460-nucleotide ribosomal RNA is filed under the name uncultured bacterium. Its description in RNAcentral is "partial 16S ribosomal RNA". It matches the Rfam family "Bacterial small subunit ribosomal RNA", at positions 338 to 795 of the family's 1533-position model. The record is from RNAcentral.
CCUUCGGGGGGCAGCAGUGAGGAAUAUUGGUCAAUGGGCGCGAGCCUGAACCAGCCAAGUAGCGUGAAGGAUGACUGCCCUACGGGUUGUAAACUUCUUUUAUAAAGGAAUAAAGUGAGGCACGUGUGCCUUUUUGUAUGUACUUUAUGAAUAAGGAUCGGCUAACUCCGUGCCAGCAGCCGCGGUAAUACGGAGGAUACGAGAGUUAUACGGAUUUAUUGGGUUUAAAGGGAGCGUAGAUGGGUUGUUAAGUCAGUUGUGAAAGUUUGCGGCUCAACCGUAAAAUUGCAAUUGAUACUGGCAGCCUUGAGUACAGUGGAGGUAGGCGGAAUUCGUGGUGUAGCGGUGAAAUGCUUAGAUAUCACGAAGAACUCCGAUGGCGAAGGCAGCCUACUAAACGGCCACUGACAUUGAUGCGCGAAAGUGUGGGUAUCAAACAGGAUUAGAUAUCCGAGUAGUC